ACUGCUUUGCCCUUGGACUUCAUUCUCUGUCCCACUAGGUGCACUGAAAGCCUUGGGUGAUUUCAGAACCUCUUGUUUUGUCUUUCUCCACCCAGCUCUCCGGACAAGGAAGCUGGAGCUCCUUCCAGGAGCCUCUCGCAACCAGAAAAGGAGCCAAUCCCCUUUCCUCCUUCCCAGAACUCAGACAGGAGGUUUGUCCCGCAGUUUGCAAAACCCAGGAAGGCAGUGACAAGACUAGCUGCUACGAGGGAAGAGGACCUCGGGAGUGGGGCCUUUAGCUCGAUCUGCACCUCUCCACACCCCAUUUUCAGCACAUUGCACUACAGAUGUCUCUGGACUGCAGGUGCUAUGCAAGCAGCUCCCAUGCCUGUGAGAGGCACUCAGGACAGCUGUGCCCAUAUCAGAGUGCUGGAGGCAAGAGCCCUCUUGCCCACAUUGCGUGAAUAUUAGAAAACUCAGAAAGGCAAUCCUGACCAGUUGCUGCUCAGUUGGUUGGAGUGUCAUC
Myotis davidii is the source of this 505-nucleotide long non-coding RNA. RefSeq lists it as uncharacterized. The transcript has 3 exons. The record is from RefSeq and is a predicted model, not a curated record. NCBI's taxonomy places the organism in Eukaryota, Metazoa, Chordata, Mammalia, Chiroptera, Vespertilionidae.